This 397-nucleotide ribosomal RNA is filed under the name uncultured bacterium. Its description in RNAcentral is "partial 16S ribosomal RNA". It matches the Rfam family "Bacterial small subunit ribosomal RNA", at positions 523 to 918 of the family's 1533-position model. The record is from RNAcentral.
AUACGUAGGGGGCGAGCGUUGUCCGGAAUGAUUGGGCGUAAAGGGCGCGUAGGCGGCCCGGUAAGUCUGGAGUGAAAGUCCUGUUUUUAAGAUGGGAAUUGCUUUGGAUACUGUCGGGCUUGAGUGCAGGAGAGGUAAGUGGAAUUCCCAGUGUAGCGGUGAAAUGCGUAGAGAUUGGGAGGAACACCAGUGGCGAAGGCGACUUACUGGACUGUAACUGACGCUGAGGCGCGAAAGUGUGGGGAGCAAACAGGAUUAGAUACCCUGGUAGUCCACACUGUAAACGAUGAAUGCUAGGUGUAGGGGGUAUCGACCCCUUCUGUGCCGCAGUUAACACAAUAAGUAUUCCGCCUGGGGAGUACGGCCGCAAGGCUAAAACUCAAAUGAAUUGACGGGG